UGUGCAAAACUGUGUAAAUUUCCCUAUUGUUUUCUGUGAGACAGGUGUUUGUACUAGGUGACCUUUGUGGCCAACACAUCGUAAAUAUUUCAGCUUGGGUAUUACACAAUCUCUGAAUGGUACAAUUCUACACAGGUUGUUUGAAAUCUGAAGAAAAUCAGUCGUAAUAUGGGUGGCUAAAAAGAUAAACAACAGCAUAGAGUAUGUGCAUGUUCAUGUUGAACAGAUAUUACGAUGUUGUGAAUAAAGACUGCCAGUUAUAUUAAGAUUUAAGCAGAUGACUAGUACAUGUAGAUUUUAUUGUUUGCAUAAUUAAAUAACCCAGUUAUAAUAGUUAUUUUCACAAAUAAACAAAUAUUAAAUUCAAAAUGGCGGCAACAAAAAAUAUGGCGGCCUCCGAUGUCCGUUUUGUUGAUACUAAGAUAAAUUCAAAAUUUUAACACCAACUGGUCUUUAUAUUUUUAAUUUAAGUUUAAAAUUACACAAUUAGGUUUAUUUGCAUUUAAAAUAAAUUAAUUAUGAAUUAUUUAUUUAUUUUUUUUUCGAUCACGUGACGUUUUUGAGUUCUAUGAUUGGUCAAUAACAGAGCGCGGAUUUUUCCAUGGACGAUUUGAAUGUUUGGAUGUUGAAAGUGUUGAUAGAAAAAAAGGAGAUAAAACCAGUUGGUAAGGCGAUAUUUAUGCUAACAUUUUAUUGAUUUUGGUAAAGUAUACUUAGUACCUCUGGAAUAACAUUCCAAAAAGAAGAAAUAUUGGGAAUGAACAAAAUUCUAGGCGUGUGAAUCUUAGAUUUCUUGUUUGUUUUGAUUGGUAUGUCGAAUGACAAAGACUGAAGUAAACAAAUUGAAAGUAUUUGAAACGCAUAAUAUUUUUCAGCAUUUAGUAUAUUAAUCAAAUAUGUUGUUCUUUGUCAUAUUUAUUCCCACAAUUGUUUAUAGAUUCCCUGAACUGUUAAAAUAUUGUGAAGCCUUAUACGCAUCAGCAUGAUCAUAACAUGAUCUAGCUGCAACGUUAAUUAAUGCAAUGAAAUGAGUAAUUUAACAUUAAUUUUCUUUUUUUUUUUAUAAAGCAGAAUAUUGGUACAUGAUGUUUCCAUGAGCUAAAUCUGUCCUGACCUGGAGUACAUGAAAUUCUUCAAAAUAUUACUUGUUUAAGAAUUGAAGAAAAGGUUAAAAUUGCAAGCAUAUUUCAACGAAAACUUAGCCGACUACCAGUCACACUGCCCGCCAGCCAAGACGUCUGACCAGCUAAAAUGAGGGACGCAGACCACCAGCCAAGUCCCUCGGCCAGCUCGGCUGACUACCAGUGCAGCCUGUCAAGUCCCUCAACUAACUUGGCCUAUUACCAGUGCGGCCUGUCAUUGAACAACCAAGUCCAUCAACUAGAUUGGCUUACUACCAGAGCGGCUUUUCAAGGGAUGGUCAAGUCCGUCAACUAACUUAACCUACUACCAGUGCCGCAUGUCAAGAGAUGGCCAAGUUCGUCAACUAGCUCGGCUUACUACCAGUACGGCCUGUCAAUAUAGGGACGGUUAAGACCGUUGACUAACUUGGCCUUCUACCAGUGCGGCUUGUCAAGGGACGGUUAAGUCCGUCAACUAACUUGACCAAGUACAGAUGCGAACUGUCAAGGGAUGGCCAAGUCCGUCAACUAUCUUGACCAACUACCAGUGCGGCCUGUCAAACGAUGGCCAAGUCCUUCAACUAACUUGGCCUACUACCAGUGUGGCCUGUCAAAUGAUGGCUAAGUCUGUCAGCUAACUUGGUCUACUACCAGUGCGGCCUGUCAAACGAUGGCCAAGUCCUUCAACUAACUUGGUCUACUACCAGUGCGGCCUGUCAAACAAUGGCUAAGUCUGUCAGCUAACUUGGUCUACUACCAGUGCGGCCUGUCAAACAAUGGCUAAGUCUGUCAGCUAACUCAGCCAACUUUCAGUGCCUAUCUUCAAAUAAUAAAGAUAAACAACUGUACACCUGCAAGGAUACCUGUGCAAGGAGGGUGGUAUGCAGCUAGAAACUGUAACUGAAAUCACUGUUUAGAACCUUUCUUUUUUUUGAAAUACAGCUAGAUCAAAAAUAAAUAGGGUGUUAAUAUUUAAAAAUUAGUGAUGUCUGUUUAUACAAUUAGCAAGAGUAGAAUGCAGUUUGCUAGGUAAUUUUACAAAGACCCUAAUUGCUAUAAGCUAAAAAUGUAUUCUUUAAAACAACCAGAGAAAUUUCAAUCUGUUGUAGAUGACAUGAUGAAAAAUAAGGUACACUUGAAUUUUGAAAACAAUUGCAUGUGCAUUCAUUUAGUUGUAUUUGACAAUAAACCAAGCUAUCUUUAUCGUGUU
Long non-coding RNA from Saccostrea cuccullata (small rock oyster), 2331 nucleotides. RefSeq lists it as uncharacterized. The transcript is spliced from 3 exons. The record is from RefSeq and is a predicted model, not a curated record. NCBI's taxonomy places the organism in Eukaryota, Metazoa, Mollusca, Bivalvia, Ostreida, Ostreidae.